This 28580-nucleotide long non-coding RNA is filed under the name Brassica napus (rape). RNAcentral describes it as "long non-coding RNA (BNAP_LNC009293)". Lineage: Eukaryota; Viridiplantae; Streptophyta; Magnoliopsida; Brassicales; Brassicaceae. The record is from RNAcentral.
CAUCUUUUUUUUUAUCAAAAACCUUUGUUUUCUCUUUUCUUCUUGCUUGUCGAGUUGAUUGAGUGUUGGUGUGUAAUAUCCAACUUCUGGUGUGUAAUAUCCAGAGUCUAAGGGCUUCUUAUUUGGUGUGUCAUAUCGAGAUCAGUCGCCUAGGAGUAUCAAGAGAUCAGCCAUCCCUCUUGUGUCACCAUUCGAUCCACUAACCUUGAGAAACUUGAGUCUCUUAUCGCCUAGGAGUAUCAAGAGAUCAUCCAUCCCUCUUGUGUCACCAUUCGAUCCACAAACCUUGAGAAACUUGAGUCUCUUGAUUCGUUUCUGCAUGGACUAUACCAUCUGUUCCAGAGCAUCAUCCUAGGAUCUCAUUAUGUGGUAUCAGAGCAAUUCUGGAAGGGAAGUGUUUGAUUUUUCUCUCUGAUUUUCGUUUCGGUCUGUUCAUAUUCUGUCGAGUUUGAUCUGAUCUGUGUUCUUUGUGUUUAAAUCUGAUAAAUCUGAGAACUUUGAUCACAAGUCUGAGUGUAGUCUUUUCAUAAUCUUGUGGAGAAAGUUAUUAAUUUGUGUUGUCUUUGAAUCUGAUUAGAAUUGAAAGAGAUCGAUCUGUUUCUGAGAAUUGUGAAUCUGUUUUUUUUUUUGUGUUUUAAUCAUCAAAUCCAAAUCUGAAAUUGAACCUGAUUUCGGGAUCUAUCUUUGUUCUGAUUACGGUUUUAUUGUUUCAAUUUGAUUUGUGUCUGGUUAGGUUUGUUUUGUCAAUUUGAAUCUGCUUUGGAUCUGUCGAUUGAAGUUUGUUGAUCAGUUUCUGUUUGGUUUAUGAUUGAUCGUUUCUCUCUGUUGCUUCUGUUUGUUUCUGAUUAUCAAACUUGUUCUGAUUAUCAAUCUGAUUAAUUUUGGGUUGUUUGUCGAUUUGAAUCUGUUCUGGUUUAUUAUUGCUUACUUGUUUCUGUAAAUCGAAAAUCAAUCUAAUAUUUCUCUGUUGUAAUUCUGAGUGUUCUGUUUCCUUAGAACUUGUUACUGCUGUGUGUUGUUUUCUGUUUCAGGUACCAUGGCAGGAGAUCAAAAAGGAGAACCCAGCAAGGAAGAAAAAUUGAUGAUUGAAUCAUUCAAGGCCAGUAUGGGUCUUGUCCUCAAAGAUCAGAUGAGACAACUAAGACUGGACCUGCGACGGGAACUCCAACAAGCUUCUGGUCAGAGUCUUGAGCCUAGAAGCAGUGAGAGGAGACAAAGACGUGAUCAUGAAGGCAGGGGCAAUCACAGAAAUAAAUUUUCUCAUCAAAAGCUGAAAAUCCCUCCUUUUCAUGGCAAGGCUGAUCCUGCUNNNNNNNNNNNNNNNNNNNNNNNNNNNNNNNNNNNNNNNNNNNNNNNNNNNNNNNNNNNNNNNNNNNNNNNNNNNNNNNNNNNNNNNNNNNNNNNNAAGAUGGAGUUGAUUUUCAAAUGUCAAAGCUAUGCUGAAGUAAAGAAGGUUCAAAUAGCCACUGCUGAGUUUUAUAGUUAUGCUUCAAGCUGGUGGAAUCAAUUGGUGUCGUCUAGGAGACACUAUGUAAAAGAACCAGUUGCAACCUGGCUUAAAUUAAGGGCUUUGAUGCGUCAUAAGUAUGUUCCAAGACAGUACCACAAGGAAGUACUUCAAAAACAGUCUUAAACAAAGCCAUGCUCUGCAAACUCAGUACAGGAACAACAAGGCAGAAUGAGAUCAAGUUCAUCCGGUGUUAUUGGUUUACCUAGCAAGACAACAAGAUGGUUCAGUGAGGGGGACAUAAAGAAGCGGUCUCAAGUGAUUAUGGAUGUUGAGAAACAACUCAGAGAGACCCACACCACACGUACAACCAUAGAAGAACAAAACCAAGAGUCAAUCACUUCAGUCUCAGAACUUAAUUCAGCAGAGCCGGUAUCAGCUGUGCCUAUUCAAGAAGAGCAAGCCAAAGCAACAUCACCUAUCUUUAAUAAAGAAGAGCAGCCUGGUCAGAACGUCAUUGUUCCUUUCAAACAAGACAUGGUAGCAGAGGAGAUACCCAGGGAACCACAGAGAGCUCACAGAAUGAAUCAACUAAUUGUCUUUGAUCCAUGUGAUUUUCAAAAGACCUUCUUAGGUCAGACUAUUUUGAGGUCUACACUUUUCGAAAAGAAGGGUUAUAAUGACCAGAGUAUCAAUGAUGAGUCCUUGGCUAAGUUGGCGAAGCAACAAGCAAACCUUGAAAACUGUCUAGCCGCCAACUUUGACAUAGGAGCAGUCCAAGGAUCAUAUCUCAACAACCAAAGGGAUGAAAGCAACAAACUCGACUUCCAUGGAAACUUAACUCAUCAGGGACUCACGGCGAAUUGGAAUCAUGUCUAAAGCUUCUCAGGGGAAAGAGNNNNNNNNNNNNNNNNNNNNNNNNNNNNNNNNNNNNNNNNNNNNNNNNNNNNNNNNNNNNNNNNNGAAAGAGUUAUGGGUUCUAGAAGUCGGGUGAACCUGUGUUUGCUUUGUUUGAAUUUUUCUGAGUUUAGAACAUCUCAAUCCUAUCUAUGGCGACCAGGUGAGCAUGCUAAGGUAACUAAUCAUGUUUUCAAGAGUUCUUUUAUUGAUUACACAGAUAUGAUGCACUUGUUUUUGUCAAAAGAGCCAUGUACAGAUUAUGAUGAAGCUUUGAAGCAUACAAGGAGAAAGAACAAGCGUGAGGAAGACAAGCGUUUCAAGCCACCUGAUCUGAACCAGGAGAGACAUCAGGACAUUAAUUGAUUCAUCCUCAUCAAAGAAGCACCUCCAGAUGCAGCAUACAAGCCAAAACCGAGCAAAAACCAAUUUGGGAUAAGACUCUUACUCUUUGAUAAAUUUUCAUGUGCUAACUGGUUUUGUUUCAAUGUAUCAGGUUUAAGGAAUGCAUCAAGUAGAACCAAACGGAUCAGUCCCUCCUACAUAAUCGAACCAAUCAGAAAUAAUGCCUAUCAAAGAGGCUUGCAAGGUAAGUGUAAUCUGAUUUUAAACUUUGAUAUUACUGACUCGGCCCCCUCUAUUGCAGGUAAAGCAGAUUUCAGGACAAAUCUUUUUGAAGAGGGAGGGGAUGAUGUGAUCAUGGAAAGCACCAAGGAAUGGAAGUAUUAACCUGAUCCUGAAGAGAUUGUAGCUGAGUAGGCAACAUUGAAGAAUGCUUGGAAACAAGAAGUAUACAUUAGUCUUGGCCGAAGCUUGAUCAUCCAAGACACCUUAACCAUCAUUCAAGCUACUUCACUUUCACGCUGAUCAUCAUCUAGGCAAGUAGCUUGUGUGUGCUCUUUUCCUAACCUUUGGUUUUGUCCCACUGGGUUUUCCAAAGGAAGGUUUUUAACGAGGCCACAAGUCUACUUCUCCUAUCUCCUAGAUGAUUGAUCUUGGUCUGUCCACAUGAAGACCUUAUGUUAUAUUUUUUAAGCUAUGCUUUCAUAUUAUUUAGUUUUCGAAAACUCUAGUCUUUGUUGUGUUUCCAAGGGAGCCUUUGUCUUUAUUUCCCUUGUAUUUUCGAGACCUUGUGCAUGUACAAGGCUUCUCCUUUAUAUUCUGGUCGUGACCCCCCUUGUAGCAUGAUCCAUCUUUUUUUUAUCAAAAACCUUUGUUUUCUCUUUUCUUCUUGCUUGUCGAGUUGAUUGAGUGUUGGUGUGUAAUAUCCAACUUCUGGUGUGUAAUAUCCAGAGUCUAAGGGCUUCUUAUUUGGUGUGUCAUAUCGAGAUCAGUCGCCUAGGAGUAUCAAGAGAUCAGCCAUCCCUCUUGUGUCACCAUUCGAUCCACUAACCUUGAGAAACUUGAGUCUCUUGAUUCGUUUCUGCAAGGAUUAUCCCAUCUGUUCCAGAGCAUCAUCCUAGGAUCUCAUUACUAAAGAUGGAACCUUCUAAAGAUAGUUUCACUUUCGUGGAUAACUCCCAAGCAAACUCAGCAAGCAUGAUCAAGGAUGUUAAGGUGGAGAUAGGGGAAUGCAUUAUCCCUGUGGACUUGCAUGCUGUGGAUAUCAAAUCAGGCAAAACAUCUUCACUUCUUUUUGGAAGAGCUUUCAUGGCUACAGUGGGGGCAGUUUGUGAUCUUAAGAGAAAUAAGAUGUGUCUGACUAAUGUUGACGAAACUGUCUUCUAUGUUCCCAUGGAAAAGAAGAAAAGUAAGGAGCUUAUUUCAUGCAUAUAGAUGCUUAAAGAUCCAGGACCUGCAGCUGAUUCAAAUUCGUGAGCCUGCAAAAACCAGAAUCAGCGUCAGUCGACAUUAGAAUUGCAGCAUCGGUCGACUUUCAGCCCUCAGAAUCGAUCGACAAUCAGCCUUCAGCAUCGGACAACUUCCAGUCUUCAGAAUCGAUCGUCGCAAAGCUUUCAGCAUCGAUCGACGCCCUCCGAGUUUUAGAACAGUCCGAGAGUGAAAAGUCUAAGUUUGGGGGAACAACCAGGAAUAGGAAGAAGAAAAAGAAAAGGAAUGCAGAUGCAGAUUUUCUAUCAGUAGUUCCUGUGCAAUGUCAAGAGGGUAGUCUUGAGUAUAGAGUGCGCUGCAGAGGAGGUCAUGAACCUUUUACCAAGUUUAGAGUGCUAUGUGAUCCAGAGCUGGGAGAGAAAGGAGAAGUUUCUGCAAGAGCUUUUAUCAACUGCAUCAACAAAAUGAGGAAGAGAGACAUAAAGACUUGUUUUGGAGCAAGUUUUCAUCCUCAUCCAUACUAAAUCAGAUCACCAAAGUCAAGCUAAAUGACUAUAACAAAGCGCUGAGUGGGAGGCAACCCACUGUUAAGUAAUUUUAUUUGGUUUUAUUUUAUAUUAUUACUGAUUUUCGUUUUUAAUUAUAAUGGAGACCCAAGGAAAAUAGUUGAUAUACCAGCAUCGACCGACAUCUGAUCAUUGACGGCCGCCACCACUUCACAUGAGCAUCGUGCGAUACCUGAUCAGUGUCGCUCGACAGCAAAUCAACAAAAUCGAUCGAUCGCCACUUAACUGUGUUGAUCGACAUUCACAUCCACCAAGCAGGUAUAUCGUCUUACCUUGUUAAUUUCGUACUUAUGAUUAAUUUCCCCACCAAUCUUAGACUAUAUAACAUUCGAGACAGUGUUAUUUAAGUCUGGGGGAGGUUCAACUAAUAUUAUGUUUUAGUUAGCUAUAUAAAACAAAAAGAUCCGAGUAGACGAUUGCCCAGCAUAUCGACCGAUGAGAGCAUAUCGACAGUACAUUACCUACAGCGACCGAUGGUAUCUCCUUUCCAUCGACCGACACUUAAUCUGGUCAGAUAUAUCGUUCUAACUUGUCAAAUUGGGUACUUAUGUUUAUGUUCUCACCAAAAUUCGAAUGGAUAUACACUGGGGACAAUAUAAUUUAAAUCUGGGGGGAGGUUUACCGAUAUCUAGUUAUUGUGAGUCUUAUCAAAUGUUUUCAAAAAAAAAAGAGUGUUGUUAUCAAGUUAAGAAGGGGAUUAUGAUCAAAUACAAUUUUACUUACUCUCUAACCGCUCUCUAGCACCAUUCUUUGAGUUUAUUGACUGCAGGGUGUACUGAAUAGAAACGCCAAAGUGGAUUACCUGCUAAUAACAUCCAUGCUCGCUGAGAAAGUCUGAAGGAACCAAAGCUGACUUCCAACCUUAAUCAACUGAACUUGCUUGUCUUGGGGUUUGGUAUACAUCGGAUCGGAUUCCUCUUUCAGGUCUGAAAGGUCUAAGUCUGUAAAUUUUUGGUUUCCUUCUCUCCUCUUUUUGGCAUCCAAAAAGAAAGAAAAAGAAAAGAUUGAAAUGAUUGAAAUGAUUUCUUGCGGUUUAGAGGGGUAGGAGUGUCUCAUGUGACCCCAUUAUUCUUCUCUAAUGGAAUGAUCACACAUCGUUGGCAACGAGGGGUAGGUACAUUACCGAUGACCCCACUAUCAUCUACACUUUUCCAAGACAAGAAAAAAAUGUAAAGAAAAGUCGAAAAGAAGAUGAAUAAGAUGGACUGCGCCAGGAUCAUUGUUCAUUGGAUUUGAGAUAAAAGGAUUCAGAGAAGAGAGAUAUAGGGAGAAAAGAAACCAGAAUAAGACUACCUGUUUACUUAGAUACCUGCUGGGGUAAGAGUCCAUGUGUCCUUUGAUUGAUACUCACAAGAUUUAGCCUACACAUUUAUAUGCAGAUAUGAGGUCAGUAGAGGGGUAUGUCAGGCGGAAUCAACUAAGCAAUGGGCUGGAUGGUUUGGUUGCUAAGCUAAGGUCUAGUACAUGAAGUGCCUCUAAAGUUGGCACUAAUCUGAUGUGGCUUGCAACACUGCAGAGGUAAAAGUAGUAAGUUUAAAAUUUUGUGUGUCCAUGAUAUUUUCAAACCUCUUUCACAUGACUACUAUAUGUUUUGCUUGAGAACAAAUAAAAGGGUAAGUCUGAGAGAGUUGAUAUAGGUGUUUUAAGAUAUCUUUACUACAAUACAUAGUAUAUUUAGAGUAUUUACAGGUUCAGGGACGAUUUGGAGGAAAGUGGUGAUUUUGGUGUCUUUUGGAGCAUUUGGAGUGCAGAGCUGCACAGACGCAUCAGAUAUUUAGCUAUAGAUGGAGACCUUCCCACCGUUAGAUGGAGCCCAUCGUUUGACACAUGAUAGAGCUUUGAGUUAGCUUUCCAAUGCCACCAGUCUGAGGUCAAUCAGCAUCAUGUAGCAGACGUUAUGCCCGUUUUACUGAAGAGUGGUCUGUAUGUCUCGCGAGAGGAGGCUGUCGAGGAGAUGAAGGACUGUCGAUCGACGGUGCACCCUUGCCAUCGAUCUACGGUGAUGCCAGAAUAUUGGCCAAGCAUAUUUUAUGACCGACUGAAGCCCAAAAGCCACACCAAGUUACCAAAAUACCCAUAGACAACCAGAAACCAUAUUUAUGUAUUUCUAACCCAUUGUUGACGGCUACGAGCUUUCUAUUUUUUUCUUAGGUUUGGAGAGAAGAUCAAUUCUCCUUCAGAGAUUGAUUGGAACUCCAUUGGUUUUAUCAUUGAUUUCUUUAUCGAUUAUAUUAUUCAGACUAUGAUUUGUGUUAUUGAUUUUAUGUCUGAGUAAUCAUCUUGUUAGGUUUAGGGAUUUCAUGAGCUUAAUGUCAAACUGAUAAUCAAUUAGGAUUGCUAGAUUAUCUAUAGAUCUCUACACCAGGGUGAUUUGUAAUACUAGGAUCUGGAAUAGUUGGAAUAGAACGACAGUGUGACUAAUUGUUUGAAUCUAGAAUCAUAGGAUAGUUGAGAGGCACAAAAGUGCAAUCAAUUAACGGAACCCGAACUCUGCUGGAUUAGAUAUCUAGGUGCAUACGAGAGUUGGUCUAGAAAUCUAGUUGAACUUAAUCGAUUAGGUCGUUAAUGCUUGUCUAAGGAAGAAUCGAUCGACGCUUUGGCCAUAACAUCAAUCGACGCUCGAUUCAAGUCAACAAGCGACAGCUGAGACUGGACUUAGACAUCUGAUUAGUAAUUACAUGCGAAAGCUGGAUACUUACUUAUUAAAAUCAUGUUCUAGAAUUGAAUCUAUAAACCAUUAGCAUCUUUGAAUUGUAGUUUUUAAUCUCUUUAUUGAUAAAUCCCCAAGUCCAGCUAUUUCUCCUAAUUGUUUACAACCUCAAUCAACCAAUCGAACAACUACUUUGUUCACCUUGCUUUCAUUUAUUUACUGCUUUAUAAACUGUUUGCCUACCCUAAUCUUGAUUUCUAUAGUCUAUUGUGUGCCCUAGCUCUCUGUGGAUUCGAUCCCUAAGUGCUACAACUCGACCUCUGAUUUGAGAGAGUAUAAAUCACUCCUUAGGGUAAUUUGAGUGAUAUCACAUGGUUGCGACACUAGUUCUAAUUCAGCACGCGACUGGAAACAUGCAUGACCAGGAGGGUCAUCUGCGUAAUGCAGCAGGUCAGAAGAUAGAUGAUCAGGGGGCUGUAAUCCCUGAUACUGAUGCUGAUAUUGCAGCUGCUACACCGAGGACAUUAGCUGAUUACAACAGGCCAGAUCAGUACUACGAGAACAGAUCUGCCAUCCGUCCUCCAGCCACACAGAGGUAAGACUUUGAGUUGAAGCCUCAGUACUUCACACUCGUUGGACAUACAUCCUAUUGUGGGUUAUCACACGAGCAUCCUAUGGACCAUCAGGAAAGGUCUGAGGAUCUAGUUUCUGCUAUUAAAGCCAAUGGAGUCCCUGAGGACUACCUCUUUUGCAAGCUCUUCAAGUACUCACUUGCUGGAGAGGCUUCGCACUGGCUUAAGCAGCUACAACCAGGAUCUCUCACAUCAUGGGCCGAUAUCAAGAAUGCAUUCUUAUGCCACAUCUUUGAUGAGGCACGGGCUGAAGACUUGAGGAGUAAGAUUGCUACAUUCACACAUGUGCCUACAGAGUCAUUCAGAAGCUCCUGGAUCAGAUUCAAAUCAUAUCAGAGAGACUGUCCACACCAUGGAUUUAAUGAAGUGCAGCUGCUCAGUACUUUCUUUAGAGGCAUCGCGCUGGCAUAUCAGAUGGCUCUAGACUUAGCUAGUGAUGGAAAUUUCAACACUAGGAAUCCAGAGGAGGCUGUGAGACUUAUUGAGAACUUGGCAUCCAGCAACAUCACCAAGAACACUGAUUUCUAAUGAAAAAAAUCGGUCCAUGCCCUAGGGAAGGAGUAGUUGGAAGAUGUUAAGGCUAGGCUGGAUAGUGUUCACAAGCUUCUCAAGAAACAAGUUAGCUUUGCAAAGGAUGUAGAGGCUGUAGAUGUCGACAAUGCCAAGGACGAAAAUGAGGAUGUGAACUUUGUCAGUGGUUCAGGCUUUCAAAAUCAGAGGUCUGGAAAUCAGAGUGGAUACAAAAACUCAUAUGGCAAUUGUCAGAAGAGUGGAUACAACCAGAGUUCACAGUACCAAAAACCCUACAACAACAACUACAACAGCAGCAACAAACCUUAUGGAAGUUCUUACUAUCAAAAUCAACUGCCGAAAACUCGAGAGAGAAAGAUAGAGUCCAUGCUUGAUCAAGUUCUUGAGGGUCAGCAGAAGUUAAUAGUGAACUUCAACAGAAAGAUUGAUGAUGUCUACACAGAGCUGAGCUCAAAAUGUAUUUCCUUGAACACACAUGUGAGGAAGUUGGAGACACAAGUGGUUCACACAGGAGACACUAUUAAAAGGCAGGAGGCCUUCAUGAAGGGUAAAGGGGAUAACUCACUGAAGCACCACGUGAAUGCCAUCAUGGAUGAUGAUUUCUAGCAAGUGGUUAAGGGGAAGAAGCUUCAGGAGAGAGACUUCCAAGUCGAAAGCUCCAUGAGUUUUGGCGGUUCACAUUGGUGUCGAUUGACGCCAAGUCACGAACAUCGACCGACGGAGAAGGACGAGCAUCGAUCGACUUCAGUUUCUCAACAUCGAUCGACAAAGGAAGUUGCAUUAUGCGUGACCGUGAGAAUUCUGACUCACGAGGAGUUCGCGGCUAAACACCCACACCCACAUCCACCCAAACCCUUACGAAUCAAGAAGUCAGACGUCGAUCGACACCAUAACCUAGCCGCCGAUCGACAAACAGACUCCACCAACGAUCGACACGAACCAUCCAGCGUCGAUCGACGACCACCUUUGACCUACCGAGUGCAGCUACCAAAAAUAGAUGUAGCACGCCUGAAUGCUAUCAAAAACCCAUGUGUGUUCAGUGACUGAGAAUAAGAGAGAAGAGAGGGAGGAAAGGAACUGGAUAAGACUACAUGUGUGUUCAGAUACUUACAUGAGUUGAUUCCAUGUGUUCAGUGAUCGAUACUCCCAAGGUAAAGCCUACAUGUUUUCACUACAUGUACUAAAUGAGGUCAGUAGAGGGAUUAGUCAGACAUGAUUUGCUAAGAUGUUAAAUGAAUGGAAUUGGUUACCAAACUAGGAUAUUGCAUAUAAAGUAUUUUUAAAAGUUGAGAUUGAUUUGAUGUGGUUGCAAUAUUGUUGAGGUGGUGAUAGUGAGUUCUUAAAUUAUGUGAGUCCCUAUUGUACCAAAAACACCUGUCAGAGAGACUGCUCAUUGUUUUGCUUGAGGACAAGAUCCAAUAACUCCUUCAGAGAUUUGUGAUUGGAACUCUAGUUUAUCUACUCUAUUAUAUUUUAUGCAGUUUUCAAAUCUCUUUGUUAUGAAUUGCUUAGUUAUGUCAGAGUAGUUCUUCUUGUUAGAUUUAAGGUUUAGAUAUUCAUGAGGGAUUAACACAAAAUAUAGAAUUGCUAAGUGUCAGGAAUAUUAAUAAACUAAAUUGUUCUUAAUGCAUGUGUUCUAGAGUAGCUAAAUAGGACGUGGCCUUAAGAUAGUAGGGCGCAAGCGGAAGUUUGGUUCUCUGUCUUAUUAGUGUAAAAUGUGCUAGGAUUGCCAGAAACAAGCGGAAGCUGAUUUAGUUAAACCUAGUGAACACGUAAAACUCGUGCGAUAACGCUCCUUGGAAGGUUCAUCGAUCGACAACUCACUAAUUGCAUCGAUCGAUGGACUGAAAGGUGUAUCGAUCGACACCCCGUUGUUGGAAUCGAUCGACACUUUCUCAGGACCAAUAAGCGACAGCUGAGGUCCUAGAUCCGGUGAUAGAUAGUCUAAAUAUACGAAAGUUGAUUGACUAUUCUUAUUGUUUGAGUUCCAGAAUAUCCAUAUUUGCUUAGUAAUCUAUAUCUCUAUAAUCAUGAUUGUUUGAAUAGAAACCCUAAUUCAAACGUUUCUCAUAUCUAUCUUAAAACCCCAAAUCAAUCAAUCGAAUAAUUACUUGUUCACCCCUGUUAUUUACUGCUUUAAAACCUACUUACCUAGCUUAACUACAUAACUAGAUAGAUCUAUUGUGUGUCUUAGCUCCCUGUGAAUUCGAUCCCAAAAUAUUACAAAUGAACCUCUUAUUUGAGAGAGUAAAUCACUCCUUAGGGUAAUUUUGAGUGAUAUCAUCCACCUAGAUUCUAAGUUCUAUUAGUCUUAUCGGAGAUUUGGGUUUUCCUCUUUUUCAUUGUUCUCUUCUUCUCCUUGUGUCUUCUAAUCGAAAGUUUAUUUGGCUUUUAGGAAUUGCCACUUUCAACUCAAUAUCAAAUAAAUUUGCAAAGUUUGAUUCUUAUGGGUUAAUUUUCAACGAUAAUCUGACAAGAAUAUCGAGCCGAGGAGAGAUUACAACGUCUAAGUAUCUGUUCUCGUUUCUUCGAACCGCUGGUUUUACUAGAACGACCAAGUGCGCGUCGUACAUUAUUGGAAAUACUAUUAAAUGUUUAUGAGUAGAUGUUUUUGACUCAACGUGUAAGAAUUUCGUAAACUGGAUUGGGUCUUUCGUUUCGAAGGAACUUUACGAAAUCAUUGAAACAAAGUGAGGAGAAGCAGAUGAUCAGGAAAAAUAAGCAAUGAACUCGAUGUCAUCCGAGUGAGGUGCACAGUUCGUCAAGUUGUGAGCGAACUAGUCCUGUCCUAGCCCUUAUUGUCUGUUGAUCGUUUCAUAUGAUCUUGUUUGACUUCUCGAAGUUUGUCGAACUGUUUUUUCGAGUUUUAUUUACGGGAAUCGUUUCGCAAGUGUGGUCAAAUUUAAUUUGAGGGAAGUUAUCCCACAAUAAUGUUAUUAUGAAAGCUGUUUCAUAAAAUGUCGUCGAGUGAAAGUCAUUUCGUAAAAUAUUGUCGAGUUUGGCUGUACGAGAGCCCUUUUUGGAAAACUCACGUUUUGCGGCUUUUCCGAAAAUCUAGUUUCUAUCUAGUUUCUGAGUUUUAAUAUCAGAAACUCUAGCUGCGAUGAGCUUAAUUAUCGUGAGCAAAUUUAGUCAAAAAUUUUCUCGUUUCCAUCGGAUUGAUCCUAGGGAGUUUUGAGUACUUUUUCCAUAGUAAGCUUAUUAGAAAAAUAUCGUAAAUUCACAAAAUAUGUUGCUGCUGAAGUGACGCUUGAAUUUUUUUGAAAUCUUAUGUUUCAGAAGACGUUCUAGCAGUGAGGGAUAUGAUCUUCAGUUUUGCUUUGUUUAAUCUUCGUCAGCUAGUUUAGGUUUCAAGUGAUUCUAAAGAAAUCAACUUCGUUUAUCAGAAGUUACUCGGAAGAAGUACAACAGUGGGAUUGGCAACCCAAUUUGUUGUGCUUCUAUUUCCACUUCGUUUAUUCAAAAAUUCUUAAACCAAUAACAAUAGAUUCUAUUAAGAUUUUUGAAAUCCAAGAACUAAUAACAAAGAAAUUUCAAAAUUUUCAAAGUUCACGAGAAUUCACUUUACCAAUAACCCCUUUAAUAAAAUAGCAUUAUUUUAAAACUAAUUUUGAUAUAUAAAAAAAUUUCUCUUUUAUUUGUAUUUUUUAUUUUUAGAAAAUUAAAAACCACGUCACUAUUUAUUUCGUAACUAAAGUAUGCACAAAUGUUUCGUAACUAAAACAUGGUUAUUUAGCCAUGAUUGUGUCACAGUAGAAUCGUAGAUGAAAAGUCUCAAUUUAGAAUGGUUACAAAUGUAUAAGCACAUUUUUUUAUUUUAUGGCUUUUUUUGGCUAAACUUACGUAUAGCCAAAAACAUUGGUUUAUAGCAGUGUUUUGAAAUCCGACUAGAACAUGCGGUUGAAAUGGUAGGGCCGUUAACUCUAUAUCUAAUCAGAUUUUUAUUUUUUUUAAAUCCAUUAUUUAUAAACCUGAUAAAACCCGCAGAGAACCGUUAAAUCCGUGAACCCGGCCACCCGCUGAAAUACUAGUUGACCCAAUAAAUACCUUUUACUUUUUUCUCUUAGAUUUUUUAGUUACUUUAUUAAAUAUGUUUUGUGCUCUAAAUAAAAAUGAGGUUUUCUCUUUUUAACUAUCGUCUUUACUGUCGACUUUGUAUAUCCUUCUACUUAUUUUUAAUUUAUUUUUUGUUUAUCGUGAAUCUCACUUACAAUACGACUUUGAUGAAGAUUUCACUAUGCCACAUGACGAAAAUGAAUUGAACGAUGAUAGAGAGAACAAAAAUUAGUUGAUGUGGUUAGGUAUUAGUUUAAUUUUGUUAUUCGCAUUAGACAUUUAAAUACUUAGAGUUUUUAAGUUUUGAUGUUUUUAUUGUCAUAACUCAUAAUUUGUUACAAAGUUACUAAAUAGUCUAAAUUAUUUUUGAUAUUUUUGAAUGUGAAAUAAAAAUAAAGAAUAAAGAAAACUAAAUUUAAGUAUUUUCUAUAUAUUUUAAAAACUUUUACAGUAAUAAACAAAGAAAAAUAAAUUUAAGUAUUUUCUAUAUAAUUUAAAAUAAUAUCUUUGUGCCUAGAUACAUACAUUCACGUCUUCUUUUUCGAUCUGGCCACGAGUUAGUUUUAGUUUUCUUCGUCUCCUUCUUCUAUUUUAUCUUUGAUCCCUCAUCUGGAGUCUUUGGUUGUAUCACUUACCCUUUUCUUUGUAGGUAUAAUUUUUUGAAAGCCGUAAGCUUCCGAUCUGUUUCUUCUCCCAUUUCUAAUUGUAGAUAUAAGGCCAAGGUGAGGACUUAUAUGAUAUAUUCUUCAUUUUUUCAUUAUCGCUUCAUAGUACGAGUUUCUAACUAAAUCAUUUGUACCUUCGUGUUAUUUAUAAGCAUACGUGUAGUUGUUUUAUAAAUGAACUAUAUCAUAUAUAUACACAUAUAUAUAUUGCAUUGUAAUGUGUAAACAACUGGAUCUACUUAUAGGUUGCUAAAACAAAUAUAGUUUAUGAUGAUUAAGACUUGUAUGUGGGUGUUUGCAUUGUUUGGGAAUAUGGCAUGUGUGAUUGGUAUAUAUAAGUUAGAGAAGGUCAUAAGGUGAUGCAAGCAUGGUCGAGCUAGAAGAUAAUUUGAAAUUGAUUCAACCCCGUGGAUGCAACUAUGUGGAUGCCAAACUGGUGGAUGCAGAAACUCGUGGAUACAACUCUAUGGAUGGAACUGAGUGGAUGCAACAAUCAAGUAACUAUGAAGCAGAUUUGGAGCUAAAUGGACUCGGUGAUACUCAGACUCGGACCCAAACUGAUGACGGACCAGACAUGACUUUCUCAACCGAAACCAAUCAAGACAAGGAUCCAUUCUGCUUGUCUAAGGGCCCAGUUACUAGAUCACAAACCAAAAGACUGAAAAAAUCAAUUGCUGCUUUGUUUCACUCUGAAACAGACGGAAAUCAAGCCAAGGAACCGAGCCAACUCUUCACUUACUCAGUCUUUGGACUGGUCUAAGUGUUAUUUCAAAAUCUAAGUCUUAUUACUUUUAUUUUCGAUUUUAUUAAGUAUUAGGACCUUUCAACUUCUUUUCCUUCUUUGUUGCUACUUAAACUCUCUUUUGUUUCUGAAAAACCUAAUCACUUUUUUUUAUCAAAACUUUCUUCGAAACUUGUGAUUCCUUUGUUCAGUUCUUGAGCAUUGAUUGCCUAGGAGGUGAUCUCCAUAAGCACCUGUCUUGUUCACUAGUGGGGUUGCCCUCACGGACUAAGGCAUCAAGCAAGUGUUUGAUCAAUCAAUAGAUCUCACACUUAAGUUCAUCAACCAUCUCGACAUCUACCCACAGAUCCAUCAUCUCUUCAUAAUCAGAUCAGUGUUAGUAACCUGAUCCUUCAUCAAAUCGGUUCUGUUUGUGCUAGUAGCAUUCAGUAUCUUCACAACCCUAAUAAUCCGAUCCUCAAGAUUAUUCAAGGGACUGCAUCCUCAUCUGGAUUGCAUUAAGUGGUAUCAGAGCAGAUCUGAAGGCUCUUGAUCUGGGUUUGAUUCUAAAACUUCUCUCUUUGUUUUUGGGAAUCUGUUUUCUAUUCUCUGCAAUUUUCCCUGCAAUUUUCUCAGAAAUCUCUUAUCUUUCUAUAUGUAUAAUCUGAAAGAGGGCCAACCAGAUUAAAAAAAAAAAAAAAAAAAAAAAAAAAUAAAGUUGAAGAGAAAUCCAACUUGGCUGAAGAGAAAUCAAGCCCUGGUGGUAAUGCCUCUUGUAAUCUGUCUAUAUCUUUCUUAUGUUUUGGGGUUGGGAUUUGUUCUCUGAAUUUUGAUCUUUUUUGUUGCUGAGCUACUUGAUUCACAGAGAAAAGUCACAAAAAAAUUCAUAGAAAAAUCAGAGAGAACCAGAAGAGAAAAGUGAGGCUUCUGCUAUCUGUUAUUGUGCUAAUUUUUCUUGUUGAGAUUGUAAAAAAAAACAAUGGCUGGAGAUGUUAGUAAAAGAAAGGAGGCACCAACUCUGAAAUUGAAUAAAUUUCAGAUGGAAGCAAUUAUGUUUGAGAUCAUGAAAAUUAUGAAAAAGACUGAUCUUUUACAAAAGAAACAUGCUGAUGAUUUCUUUGGUAAUGUUUCUCAGUUUCAGAACGAUGCUAAGAUCAAAAGAAAGAGCACGAUACCAUCUUUCUGUGGAAAAAAUGACCAUGAUGGCUAUUUGGAGUGGGAAUAGAAAAUGGAACUUGUCUUUGAUGGCCAAAACUACUCAGAAAGAAAGAAGGUUAAAUUGGCUACAACAGAGUACUGUGGUGAUGCCAUUCAGUGGUGGGAUCAGCUUGUUACUACCAGAAUAAGAACAGGAGAAACACAAGUUGCAUCCUGGUUUGAGCUGAAACACUUCAUGAAGAAACACUUUGAUUCUGGUAACUACAGCAAUAGACAACCAAGACAGGCCAAAGAGGAGACAAGACCUUGCCAUGAUCAUAAUCACCCAAGAAAGUCUCAGUCAAAUAAGCAAAGAAAGCCAGACCCACGUCCUCUCUCAAGAGUCAGUGAGCAACUGAUUUCUACAAAGGAAUCAGCUAUCCAAAAGCUAAAAACAGAGCCAUCUAAGGUAAGUACAGAACCUGAGACAGAAAAUGAGUUUUCUCUUUUCUCUCCUCAGUCUGAACUUGUUCUCAACAAAACAUGUGAUCAACUAACUUGUUUUGAACCGGUGCAUCCGAGUAGCCUUGUUUCAGGGUCUCAGGUCUUAGAAGAAAACUCAGCAGAAGAAGCACAAACGAGUUCACCACCAGACGAAGUGUUGGAGAAGCCAAACAACAUUGAAGGAAAAACAGAUGCUAAGUCAUUCUCUCUGAACUCUCAAGAGCACUGUAAGGUCUUGAUAUGGUUAAUUUUGUGCCUGACAUGUUUGUUAUGGUCUCUUCUAGUGAUGUAAAAUUUUUUGGUCUUGAAAGAGUAAAAUAAUUUUGUGUUUCAAACUCUGUUUUUGAUAACAUGAUUUAUUCUUUUAAGAAACUUGAACCAGAUAAAUUUUCUGAUCAAAAACAUUUUAACUGUGAUAAUAACAUCAAUCCUGGUCUUGUUUUGAGUUUUGAUCAGUUUAUGGAAGACUAGUGGUGUGCCCGCGCGGGUCGUAUGACAUUUGAGAUCUUAAAUUUUGUUAGUUUUUUGCUUGUUUAUUGUAUAAUUUUUUUGAAAACCCCUAGUGGGUUGUAUGCUCCAUUGCAAGGGCUUUACAUUGUUGCUUUUAUCCAAUCUUGUUGAAAUAAGUAGGACUAAUUUAAAAAGAAAAAAUCAAUGACUGAUUUGAAACCCCUAGCUUGAAAGGUUGUUGUUAUGAAUUCUUAAAUUGAGUACUCGAUACUCACAACUUGAACUAUUGUAUAUUAAAACCUGUGAACCAGAUGACGAAUUUCUUAAGAAUAUGUAUGACAUAAACCUUAAUAUAUGGUUUGAAUUAAUGUAGAUAGGAGUUGUCCGCAAGAAAGUGUGUGAGCCAAAGAAUCCACCAUAACGUUUUAGACAUGGUUGCAAACCAUACAUAGAUGUAUGCCUGCAUAGCAUAAAAUGUCAUUAAAAAUGGUGUAAAUAUCUUAUUUAAGUAACUGGAAACUGGAAUUGAGUUGGAUGUUUUACGUUAGGUGGGUAGCUGAGUUUAUUAUUGCUCUUCCACCACUUUUUCCCAUUAAGGGAUCGUUGAAGGAUUAUCACAUAUACAAUUACGUAACCUCUGUUAGACACUCUUACCCAUUUCGAUGAAGGCUUGAUAUAGAACGUUAACCUUACUGAAACCAAAUGUUGUAAGGAGUUCAUUUAACUAUUUAAAAUGACAAUCAAAGAUUGCAUGUAGAAGAAAAGCGUGUAAACAUUUUUAAAAGAAUUAGCAAUCAGGUGAUAAAAAAACAGUCAAGCGAAGAGAAGGUGCAGUUUCCAAGGUUGUAUAAGUAACAUAUAUACAUGUACCAAGUAUCAACUUACACAAAAGGAAAUAUAAAAUAUGAUAAAAAUCUUUUACAAUAAAACUGAAGCCAAUGAGGUUGCAGAAGGAGGAGGCGAGGGAGGAGCUAGUGACAGCGAGGUCUCCAAGAUGAUCCACCAUCACCAUUGAGAUGUUCUCAAAGGUUAACUCGGUGUAUGACCACAAUCGCCAUAGGAGUGGUGAACUAGAUAGGCCGCUUGAGUUCUUCUAUGAAUGAUUGUAGCUUUGUGCGCGCAGGUCACUUUAUCAGAUCUGUCUACCGGAAGUAGUAACCUAUCCUUGGUACUGCUCUCUGCAUCUGCCAGCCUAGGCGGAGAGAGCGAGAUAGUGGAUAAAGAGAUGUGUUAAAACAUUAGAUUUGGGUUAUUUAUGUUGUUUAUGUUGUGUAACUUGCCUGCAAGACUGUUAGAGGAGCCGGGUAAUAGUGAAUAUACAAAUAUUUCAUCUUCUGAAUCAGAUGAAAUAUAAUAUAAAUUUGAGAACUUCUUACCUGCUCACAGUAAUCUGAGAAACCAAAAUAGAUUGCCUUCAACUGGGAGGUGUCUUCUUUAAAGGUACAAAGAGAAUUCUGUUCCAAACCGUUUUAAGUAAACUUCAAAAAGAUAGCGAUGAAAUAUCAAAUGUAUAAGUUGAAUUAAAGAGCUUUGUACCACCUCGGGUUUGAGAUCUCGGUGUACAACACCUUGGAGAUGACAAAAUGCAACCACAUUCAAUAUUUGUAUCGUAACAGUCUUUGCGUCCUCCUUCGUGUACUUCCCACCUCCGCACAUAAAACACAACCAAGUCCAUUAUAAAGUGAUCGAAACCAAAAAAUAAAAAAACAACAAUCAUACUUCUGAAAUUGACGGUCCAUCUACCUGAGAGUAUUCAAUCCAAAAUCUCCCCUCCUUCACAUAACGUAAAACAACAAACCACUUGUUAAGAUUCUCCCAAGCUGUAUCUGGAAUAAUGUCUGAGCUAAAAGAGAGUUUACUCCAUCACUGUAUAGACAUUAUCAUGAUCCCAUAUGCAUCAAGGAAACGAGGAAAGUUGUCAUGACCAGAGAAAGAUCCCAAUAUCUUCACUUCUCUCUCACAUCUUGAAUUGUCAUCUACACAACACAUUACAAACAAUAAAUCAAUUUGACACCAAACUGAAAUUGAAAAGACAUGACAUUACAUCUUUCAGAUCUCAUCACUACAAAGCACUUUUAUUUGCUUUGAAUAACUUUAAGAAGAAUGACGUUCAGAAAAGUAUGAGAAUAAACAGAGCAAGCAGCUGAGGAUAAGACCUUGAAAGUUUUCACUAUACCAGAAAGACGCAUCAUUUGAAGUUUAUCCAUUUCCAAGGUAUCAGUCUCCGCGGAUGAUUCAUUCUUCCCUUCUUGGGCAUCCUUUGAGCUUUCCAGAGAUUCCAGCCUAACUCCUCCUUUAUGCCGGUGAUCUAAAUUAGAAAAACAGAUCAAGAUACCUACCAAAAAUCUUCCCUUUCGGUUUCAUGGAGACCUUGGAACCCUCUUUUGGCAAGUUGAUCUCUCCAGAAACUCUUAGAACCGAAUCAACAGUUGCAUAAAACCUCACUGGUCUGAUCAACUCAAGCAGGUUUUGUGUAGUCUUUUCUUGAACAUUGUUAUUAUCUCUUUGAGCACACAUCCAAGGCAUUCUAUUAUAAACAGCCAUAGCUUUCGAGCUUGAACCCGCAACGUCUUUGGUAGUAUUAUCUCUUCAGCGAAACCUUGAACAUAGGAAACGACAAGAUCUCGACUCCUUCUCUCCAAGUUAUCUCUCUUUGACAUUAUCUUCAGCCGUAAUCAACUCGUCAGAGUCACCACCACUACUAUGAUAUGGAAUGGUUUCUUACGAAUUUGUCAAAUACAUCUCUACUGACAAGCUCAAGAACGAUAUAGAGCUUUGUUUUGCUCCCCAAAACAUGGCCAGCCCAACACCACAUGGGGAAGUUUACACGGUAAGAUUAUUAGCACAUAGAAAGUUGAAUAAGAUUAAAAAAUUCCAUAAGCUUCUUAUAUGGCUCAGUGAUUUCGACUACAUUUAUAUGUUUAAUCAGUUACAUUGUCAAUUUCUAUUUUAAGCCGUCCCCAUGGGCAACGCAAUAGUGUCCUGAGGGAGGGAAAAAAGCAUUAGUUUCAGGUUGUUUACAUACUCCUGCACAAGAACGUACGCCCAUUAUAUAUCUUCUCGAUCUUGCUCAUACCAAUAUAUUUUUCUUAGAUUUAAGAACCAAAUUAGAAAGAAAGAAAGGUACUCUAAUUUAAAACCAUAUACAUGCCACCAUAGUCGUGAUCAAAACCAUUAUAGAUUUUAAAAGGAAUGAAAAUACCCAGCAUUCUUCUGUUCCUAUUAACCAUUUUAGGAUUCAUAUUCUUAGGAAAAUGGCUCGGUGCAAACUCAGGAAAUGCCAUAGCUUCAUAACCCUGAUAAGAGCAUAACGACUAAUAGUAUUAAGGUAAACGAAACUCCACUAAGUAAAGAGGAGUUCUCUGUAAAAAAUGUCUCUGGAUAUUGAUUACCUUAUUGAUCCCUCUUUGUUCGGCAUGCCUCUGGAACCAACUUCCACUAUGCUGACCAUCUAGCUUCUUGUCACUUUUGAUCUUCACCUUCAACUUGAGUCUCCUAAUAAUAAUUAAAAAAAAACACUUCGUAAGAUCUAUUAUUGAGGAUUUAUUACCUUUUGAAAGAGGAACCAUGUUAGUGUUAUACCUUAACAGCCGCCGAAGAAAAUCCCCAUUUAGCAUGAGGCUCAUCUUCUGCGUCAUUCCUCUCUGCCUUUGCACCUGAGAGUCCGAAGCCUCUCCGUAAUCUGAUUACGAUUUAGAACCGUCUUCAAAAUAAAAAAAAAAAUUGGAAGGGAGACUUAAAACUGAGAAUGAUAUUGAAUUGGAAUUGAGAGUAACGAAGCCAUAAAUCUGGAUCUUAAGCGUUACCAGAGAAGCUUCUAGGAGGUGGGUAGAGGAAGAGUUGGCCAGAAACCCAGAAGACGAUAGAGGAUAGUAAGAGCAUCCGCACAUGGGGGUUCAUAAGAAUUUUUUAAUAUUUUUUUAGUGAAACCAUAAAUAGUGUUGAACCUCUAUUUAUUGUGUUCUUGCAUUAGUGAAUCUCAAGCAAGGAUUCAUAAAAAUAAAAUAUUAUUAUUUAUAUUUUUUUAAACUUUCAAUUAAUUAACAAUACAUGAAUAAAAUAUAAUAAUUUUUUAUAAUUUUUUAAAAAAAAUUAUUCAAUACAUUAAGAAUAGAUAACAUAAAAAUGACAUAAAAAUUUUAUUAAAUACAUUGAGAAUUCAAGAACAUACAAAGAUUAUUCAUACAAUAAUUGGCAUUAUUAAAAAUUAAAAAAAAUAUAUAUAUAAAAAUACAAAUUUAUAUUAAAUUUUUUAUAUAUUGAAAUUGGUUACAUAGUUAUGACAGGUAUAUCAAACUUAACUAAUUUUUUUAAAAACAAUUAAACCUACACCUAAAAUUCUAAACCCAAAGUUCUAUCUCCAACGUCACCGUCUUCUAGUCACAUACCGGAGCUUGGACCUUCUCCACUCUAAACACCUAAUGUCCUCGCCACUAAUGACUCACCCCUUUUGCCACCUUCUCCUCCAUCAAGCUUCUCUGCCUUGUCUACCUUCCUGUAACACAAUACACAAACUACAGAAUAUAUAUUAUAUAGAACGCAAAGAGUCAGAGGCAGAUGUGCAUGGUAAAUCGGACGACUUGUCUCAGGCAUUAAACAUCAUCUCUAACAAUGGAAGACAAAAAAGACAGCAUAUUACCUUGUGUAGUUGCAUGAUUCUAUCUCUCCCAACCGUAAGUGCACGCCUUGACACUUCGAUCAAAUGAACCAGAGUAGAGCUCUGCAGUUCUGUGUCUGAAACAUAGGGAAAAAACAGUGUUCCUGUGACCUGUAAAGGUCUGUAGACACAUAAUCAUAAAAGCUGAAACAGAUUGGACCUUAUGAACAUGGCGAUCAACUCCUCUAGUCGUCAAGUAACGACCAUCAGAGUUAACAGCUAAAGCAUCUACAAUUACAACAAACAGCAAUCAUGAAUACAAAAUGAAACCUUAAGAGCGUUCGAGAAUUUGGAAGUACCACUCUGAGCAAUGGUUCCAAGACAGACAGUCUAUAAGUUCUUCCUUUGUCACCACCAUCUCCAAACAAAGCAGGCUCUGUCACACUCAAGAACCUCAGCUUAUCAAAGCAUCACUUGCAUUACUGUAAACAUAUACAAAAUACACAUUCAAUCAAUUCUUGUGACUAUAUAAACUAUGAACUAUCAAAUCCAAAAAUCUGCUCACCUGCCAGUGAUAAAGUCUCAAACUUUCACAUUCAUAUCAAGUUCCCAUGACUAAAAAUCAAAACUUUAGUAGAAACGAACCUCAGCUUGGCACUCGAACUUCUCACCGGACCCUUCACCGCGAACCAAUUACAUAUCUUCUCGAGGUCCCAACUACAUGAAGCGCCGGUUCUCAGACCACCACCACUGCGAGGAAGAAACACACAAGUAGAUAUAUUGAUUUCAAUAAACAUACACAAGAAAUAAGGUCCAAUUUGUCAGACCACCACCAUUCUCCUCUGAUUGUUACAAAAGAGAAAUAAAAAACAUAGAAGAAUUGAGAUGAAAGGAGAAAGAAUUGAAUCUGAUGAAAUGAGGAGAGAGGAGAGAAGGGGACGAACAAUGGAAAGAGAUGGAGAGAGAGUGGAGGAAGCCAAAGCUAGACUUAUUACCGAACUCCAGCUUCUGUAAGAGACGAGGAGAGGAUGUGGAGAAGGAAAGAGAAGGCAGUGACUGAUUGACACGUGGUCUGAACCGCUUCNNNNNNNNNNNNNNNNNNNNNNNNNNNNNNNNNNNNNNNNNNNNNNNNNNNNNNNNNNNNACCGCUUCAUACGAGUUCACUACUAAGGAUCGGUUCAAUGAAUUAAAUUCAUUUUUCAUUUUUUUAAAUCAAUUCGGGCCUAGGAACUUGAGCCCAUGAACCCCAUUACAUCCUCUAAUGUGCCUGCUUUAAGCUUAAGUUUGGGCCUCUGAAAAGUGUAAUAAACCUUGCAAUAAAUAAAAAUUGGAGAUGCCACCUGUAAACAAUUUCCCUAUGCUUGAUGCUGAUGUGGCACAAGGAGGAGAGAGAAAAAUCUAUUUUAUUGUUAUAGAUAUCAAAAGCCUUGAUCACCCUGAAAAGACAUUAGAACUUGUUCUGCAGCAACCUGUUUUCUGUUCUAGAAAAUCAUUUGAUUCAUUUGUCUUCUAAGAAAAUAGCUUUGUUCUGAACUGUACUAAACAUAAACUAGUCACUGGGGAUUUGUUUUCUACCAUACGUUCCUUGAAAGACUUUAUUGUUAGGAAUUUUCAGAAACCAAAAUCACUUAGGGGGUGUAUUGAAUUUGGAAUUUUAGAGUAUUUUGGUUUUUCAUUAAAAUCCCCUGUUAUUCAACUAAUCAUUUCUAAUUUUUUUUCAAAUCAUGUGUUAUUGGAUAUGACAUUUAUCUAAAAUCUCUUAAAAUCACUUGUAAUCUACUGUUAUUCAAUUAACAAUUUACAAAAGUUAAAUCAAAUCUACUGUUAUUCAAUGAUAAACAAUUUUGAAAGGAAAAUUUUAUGAAAUGGAUUUGAAACCAACUUUUUUAUUAUUUUCAGUCAAAACUAUUGUCACACAAAUCCCACCAUUGUACCUGUUAUUUGGAAAGACCCAAAAUCAAAUAAAAAAUUGGCCACUUUGAAAGAGAUGACUGAUGAGAACUGAGAGAGAACAAGGAAGAGAGAUAUCAGAGAUGAAGCUUCCCAGAAAAGUACUAAACUUUCAAUUCCCUCUUGUUCCUGAAUCAAUUCCCAAGAUUCGAUUUUGGAGUCUCUCAAACCUAAAGGAAGCCCUUUGAUUGUUCGAUUCGAUUUCGUCUCGGCAUUUCGUUGGAUUCGAGAAACAUGUUUUGUGCUCUGAAGAAUCUGAGGUUGAGCUAAGGCACACGUCAAUUGAUUUGUUCCUCUGGUGUUCUAUUACAAGUCUCUUCCAGUUGAAUAACAGUGUUUUGGUUCUGUUUUUAAAAUCCCAUGUUAUACACAAGACAAAGAAGAUUUUGACAAGACCUUUUGAUCCUGAAGAGUAAGAAAGUCUAGUAAAGUUUAUUUGUUCUUUUCAUGUUCUACUUUAUGGUCAACUAAUGUUUGUGAGCUUGAAAACUAUGUAAGGUUUUUGAUCGUGACUCUCUUUGUUUCUCUAUUUUUUCUACAGCUUUGGUUCACCUAAAUAAGCUUUGCUUCAACUCUCAAAACUCAAAAGUUUGAGGAAGUAUUCUUCUAUGAGACUGCUUGCCAAGUAUGCAAGCUAAGGUAGGAGAUUAGAGCUUUGGUUCUGUCCUUCCACCAUAAAAGAGAGGAGAGCUCUGAAUAUAACGUAUGCAAUGCUGAUUUUUUAAUUUUUUUUUUUCGAUAAAUAUGUAUCUUGUUGAUAUCUUUAUGGGCUGCUCCUUAGAAAUUUGAAUAAUGGAUGAUGAUGGUAACGAAUGUGAUGCUCAAGAAAAAGGUGCAGAUGAGAAUAUGGAUGAUGAUGUUCAGAAUGGUACUCAAGAACAAGAAAGAGUGAAUGCUAAUAAUUGGAGAGCAAAUAUAGCAUCAAACAUGUGGACAGAUGCUAUGCAUAUGGGGUCUUGAUGCAGCAACAAUUUACUUUGUUUUUGGAACUUCUCUUUUCUGUUACGUUUUUAAAUAUAUAUUUCAUGUUGUCAUUUAUGAAUUUGAUUUUCGAUGAAAUUUUUUGAUCUAUUAUAUUUCCUUUUAGUAAGCUCUUGAGCUUUUUUUAAUAUCGUUGCAGCGAGUGAAUAAGAAGAAGUAGAAGACGAACUGGAAUAAGACGGAGAAAUAAGUGAUCACAUGGUGAAUUUUCUUAGGAAACACACUCUGUUUUUCUCGCAAACGAAGGAAGGAAGAUAAAAUAAUGAAACUGCGUUAAUGUUCUUAUUCUAUUGGAAAAAGGCAUGUUCUUAAAUAAUGGGACUUUGCAGAGUACUCUGAAAUUUAAGAUCAAAUGAUCUUGAGUACUCUGAAAUUUAAAAGAAAAACUCCCACCAAAAUUGUUUUUUUCCUUUUUCUAAAUCCCAUCAAUAUAAUGUGAUUUAGUCCAAAUCUCUCCAAACUCCAAUAUUUUUCAAAUCCACUCAAAGUUUUAAAAUCCACAGUUCAAUACACCCUCCUUAGAGCUGAAACCAAUUUUAUCUGUGAUUCUGUUUUUAAACUUGGUAUCUUGUGUUUUUAAUCUGAUAAACCUUGGCAUGUUUUGAGAUCAUUUCUUGAGAAUUGUGUUGUUUUAAGCUUUGAUGAUAUUCUUGUUUACAAUAAUUUCUUUGAUAAGCAUGCUGAGCCUUGGUUAAGUAAUUCUCGGUUUGAACUUGAUCUUUUGUGUUCUGUAUAUGAGGAACUUGUGCAUGUUCUGAAAUUGUUCUUUAAGAACCAUGUUAUCUCGUGCCUUGAUACCAUUCUUUAAGAACCAUGUUAUCUCGUGCUUUGAUACCAUUCUGGUAUACAAUACUUACUUUGAUAUGCACUUUGAUAUGCAUCAUCAAGGUCUGAAACAUUUGCAAUAUAUGGAAAGAAAGUUUGGUUUUUGAUAUGAACAAGGGCAUGUGUUGCACUGAUAAUUCUGGAUAUCUAGUCCCUGUUUUGAACAUCCAGGAACAACAGGAUGAUUCUCAAAGGAGAAAAACCAUGCUUAUCAGCCAGAGAUUUGGAGAUGGAAGCACUUUGAAAACUCUAAGGAAGUUUCUGUCCAAAACUUUACUUUGAUGUUGUUUUCAUGCUUAUUUUCUUGAUCAUUUGUCUCACUUCUUACUUGUUUCCUUUUGAUGUAGGAGAUACAUAUUUGAGGACAAAUCUUUUCAAAUGAGGAGGGGAUGAUGCAAGCAUGGUCGAGCUACAAGAUAAUUUGAAAUGGAUGCAACCCUGUGGAUGAAACUCUGUAGAUGCCGAACAGGUGGAUGCAGAAACUUGUGGAUACAAAUCUAUGGAUGGAACUGAGUGGAUGCAACAAUCAAGUGACUGUGAAGCUGACUUGGAGCUAAAUGGACUCGGUGAUACUCAGACUCGGGCCCAAUUGAUGAUGGACCAGACAUGACUUUCUCAGCCGAAACCAAUCAAGACACCGAUCCAUUCUGAUUGUCUAAGGGCCCAGUUACUAGAUCACAAACCAGAAGACUGAAUAAAUCAAUUGCUGCUUUGGUUUACUCUGAACUAGACGGAAAUCAAGCCAAGGAACCGAGCAAACUCUUCACUUACUCAGUCUUUGGACUUGUCUAAGUGUUAUUUCGAAAUCUAAGUCUUAUUACUUCUUAUUUUCGAUUUUAUUGAGCAUUAGGACCUUUCAACUUCUUUUCUUUCUUUGUUGCAACCUAAACUCUCUUUUGUUUCUGAAAAACCUAAUCACCUUUUUUAUCGAAACUUUCUCUGAAACUUGUGAUUCCUUUGUUCAGUUCUUGAGCAUUGAUUUCCUAGGAGAGUGAUCUCCAUAAGCACCUGUCUUGUUCACUAUUGGGGUUUCCCUCACGGACUAAGGCAUCAAGCAAGUGUUUGAUCAAUCCAUAGAUCUCACACUGAAGUUCAUCAACCAUCUCUACAUCUACCCACAGAUCCAUCAUCUCUUCAUAAUCAGAUCAGUGCUAGUAACCUGAUCCUUCAUCAAAUCGGUUCUGUUUUUGCUAGUAGCCUUCAGGAUCUUCACAACCUUAAUAAUCUGAUCCUCAAGAUCAUUCAAGGGACUGCAUCCUCAUCUGGAUUGCAUUAUAAGGUAUGGCAUAUGUGUGCCGGUGCAACGUGGUGGAGGUAUGUACAUCGCGGGUGUCGCAUCAUUUCUUGUUGGAUCAUGUGGAGAUCGUGUGAGGUGGCAUGAUUCAUCAUCGGAGCGGGCAUGCGGUGUGCCGGUGCGAAGUUAAUAAUGUGGUAGCACGGUCACAUGGAGACAGCGUGAUGUGGCGUGAUCGCUUGAAGGUGUGGAAUUCACAGAGACUGAGUGAGGUGGUGAGUUCUCACAAGACACCAUGAGAGGUGUGGAGAUAGCAUGAUGUGGGGUGUUCUCAUGUUGGCACAGUUAGGGUUUAUCUUUGUUUCUUGUCGAUUACACUCCCUUUAAUGGAUGUUCUAGCUAGAGCUUUUGUUAUGUUGUGUGGUGAAUGUUGAGUGAUGAUUUCAGGGCUCUUAGGGUUUCCCUCACUGAAAUUUUGUCGAAAUUCUCAUCCCUCAUCCUUCCCUUUCCAUUUGAGGUUCAGUUCAUGUCGGUGCGUUAUUGUCAAAAGCGUCAUGGGUUCCUACUUUGUUAAAAGGCAUAUUUUUUUGGCCCUUGAUUGGAGACAGACGUCCUGAUAUCGCUGACCAUUUCAGCUAUGCUGGUUCGGGGUGUUACACCUCUGGACCUAGCUUCUUUCGCAAGUUGGUUCGUUCGACCAUUCUCUCUCCGAGAAUAUGAUAUAGGUUCACGCUCUCAAAGUUAUCAUGUAGACUCUGGAAAUCAUCAAUCUUUGAAGCAAAAUAUGGUCAUUCCAUCGGGCUCGUAGUCAUAUCUAAUAGGUCUGAGCAGUCCAUUUUGAAGCAAAUCGAUGAAAUCCUCUUGUCUACCAUACAUGACACUGUGCAAAGUAAUUCCUUCAUCUCAACGUGUAAAGUCAUGUUUAAUUUUGAAUUUCUUUUUAAAUAUACUUUAAUGAUGUAGAUAGUAAAAUCAAUUGAUUAAAAGAAAUUCCAAUGUAUCAUCUUUAUAUAGGAGAAGUUGUAACAAAACAUAAUAGUAAAUUUCCCGAAUUUCAAUUCAGAGCCAGCACUAAUUUUAGCGAUGAAUUUGAGAAUUUUCCUGUUUAGUCUUCAUAAUUGUACGUACAUGCGCAUACACACGCCUGUAUAUUCUCCCUGACGUCAAUUUUCUCUCAAACUUAAACAAAAACAUCUAAUAGAAAAUCCUAAGCAAUUAUCAAAAAUACCUAAAAAUCAAUAUGAAAACAUGGUCCAACAAAUCUAACUACAGUUUUUAUGGAUUACCCUACAAAAGAUUUGCCUAAUUAGAGACCUCUCUCUCUCUAUAUAUAUAUAUAUAUAUAUAUAUGUGUGUGUGUUUGAGGUUUUGUAUCACCAAGCAACACAACGGUUCUUUGGAAAGAAAAAAAUUCACAAUGUGGUCAUCCAGUUUUGCUAUCUUUUGUCUUUUUUCACUUGUUAGUCUUCAAGAAUGUAUGUGUAUGCAAAUAUAGUUAGGUUUUGUUCAUCACUUAUCAUCAGUUACCAUAAAUAUCAUAACCAUAUCCUCUAUAAAUUUUCUGAUUUUUUUCUUUCUUACAUAGGUACAAACGUGAAACGUAUUGAGAUAAGCAAGUUAAAUUUUCCGCUGUGCUCGGAAUCUACUUGUCCUUCUAAAGAUAGAGAAGAUUGUUUCCUAUUAUUUUCUUGUAAGAAAAUAGAAAAAUGUUAUUGCUGCAACAACGGACAUAAUAAAUACUGCUCGUCAAACAAAGCACAUUGUGAGAGACGCUGUAAGCACAGAGCUUAACCCAACAUCUCCUUUAAAAUUUUCAGAAAUUUGAAGAGCGCAUAUGUAUGUAUGUGUGUGUGUUUACGAUUUUAUUGUACCCUGAAUAAUACGAAUAUAGGUGUUUCCGACGAGUAUUUCAAGCACCUAGAAGAAUCAUUUUUAAUUUCUCUUUGUGCCACCUUUUUUUCCUCAAAGACCGAUUAUUCGGAACAUUUUUUUCUCUAAUAAAAUUCACUUCUAAAUUACUAUUUAUGGGAGAUUAAAAACAAUACUUAUACUGAUAGGAAAUUACAACAAUAAUUAUCGUUAGUCAUCGUAAAAAUAUUAGAUUUUCACCCUGCCAUAAGAAAAAAGUUUCCUUUAUACUUUGAAUAUUAAACUUUAAAUGUUUCACCUCCUGAAAUUGUUCAUCACAUAUAGUGGAUCCUAAAAUCCACAUAUGGAAUUUGGUAGUGUUUGUAAUUGUAAAUCAGGGAAGAAGAAAUUGUGGACGACAAUAUAUUUAGAAUACAAUAGUGUAAUCAGACUCUGGUUUACAUCAAUGGAUUUUAUGUUGAUGUUUAAGGGGUUAGAAAGUGUAUCACUACGAGGGGAGGGGGUAAAGAUCGCAUAAGAAGAUAGCGUUCUAGUCGAGAAUGCUAUCUUUGACAUAACUCAUAAUUUAAGAUAGCGUUUUUUUACUUCGAUGCUAUAAAAAGCCGCAUAUAUAAUAUCAUUGUACAUUAAAACGCUAUCUUUACUGAGGCGAAAAAUGAUUGAUUUUCUCUCUUACUCUCAUUUCAUUUUCCCUCUCAUUUUAUUCUUUAAAUAUUUACAUAUAAAAAAAGAAAAUUUUCUAUUGGUUGAAAGUAAUACACAAAGAUUGCAAUCUCUACCCUUAAUUGUUUUUAAUCCAAAGGUGGAGAUUGUGUUUUAAUUUGUCCUCUCCUUUUGACUUCUGAAACACAACGACAGAGAGAAGUGAGAUGAGACAGAGAGAGAUGAGAGAUUGCAAGGAAAGAAGACAGAGACCGGCCUGAGUUCGUCGCCUUUGUCACCGUCUGAGUUCGUCGCCGUCGACCUGUCUCUACUCCUCAUCAGUUUGUUCUUCCGGAAUAUGUACUCCUCCUGAGAACGCCCCUCUCUCCUCUGCAGCCGAAUCCGAAACCAACACUCGUCUCACUCUCAAUCUCCUCUCAUGUCGGCUCCUUAGGU